RNA transcript from Hevea brasiliensis (rubber tree), 1474 nucleotides. It is a transcript of the gene named protein ACCELERATED CELL DEATH 6, with no coding region annotated. NCBI's taxonomy places the organism in Eukaryota, Viridiplantae, Streptophyta, Magnoliopsida, Malpighiales, Euphorbiaceae. The record is from RefSeq and is a predicted model, not a curated record. The transcript is spliced from 3 exons.
GAGGCGUCAACAAGUGAUAAGAUGCUGAAGAGGACAAUCCCAUAUGAAAACACAGCCUUACAUGAGGCUGUUAGAAAUAACCAUCCUCAAGUGGUGGAAACAUUGUUAAGAGCAAAUCCAGAAUUUGCGGACAUAGCUAAUGCAGCCGGAGAAAGCCCGCUUUACCUUGCAGCGGUGAGAGAGUACAAAGAAAUUGCUUCUAAGAUAUUGGAGAUAUGUCCCUCUCCCGCAUACAUCGGUCCCAAUGGUAGAACAGCUUUGCACGAAGCUGUGAUAAGUCCAGAUGCAGAUCUGACAGGAAAACUACUGAAACAAAAGAGCAAUUUGGCCAAAGAACAAGACAAAGAAGGAUGGACUCCGCUUCAUUAUGCUUCCUAUGCCAAUCAUCUUUCAAUUGUGGAUAUGUUACUAGAGUAUGAUAAAUCUGCUGCCUAAAUUAGCGACAAAGAUGGAAAGACACCUCUUCAUGUAGCGCUUCUUAACGAACCAACAAUUUUAAGGUGGUGAAAAAAAUUAUGUCAGACUGCCCAGAUUGUUGCGACCUGGUUGACAAUAGAGGCCGAAAUGUUCUCCAUUUUGCUGUGGAAAGCGGGAGUUUUGAAGGAGUGAAAACUAUUACUGAAAAACCUUUCCUCGCUAACCUAAUUAAUCAGGAAGAUGAAGAUGGGAACACUCCGGUCCAUCUACUUGCUACUCAUGGUUUAGAUGCUAGUUCUCUUAUACGACACCGCGUCGUUGAUAAAAUGACUGUCAACAAAGCAAAUUUAAUAGCUCUGGACAUGGUGAUGGCAACAAAGGAUAAAAGCUAUGCGCUAUUUCUGGGAUCUACAGUAAAACACCUAAAGAAGGCUGGAUAUAAACGAGGUCGGCAUUCAAUCGGUCAGGCAACGGUUGAUAAGACACCAAUAAUCGACAAUGAGUUAAUGUCUUCCCACCAGAAAGUGAGUGAAUCCCAUCAGAUAGUGGCCACUCUCAUUGCAACAGUAACUUUUGCCGCAGGUUUCACCUUACCUGGUGGUUACAGUGAUGAAGAUGGCCUUGACGAAGGAACAGCAGUUUUAACUAGAAAAUCAGCCUUCAAAACGUUCCUUGUAACCGAUACCAUUGCCUUGGCCCUCUCCAUUUUUGUUGUGCUUAUCCACUUCAUUUUGGCAGUGCAACCAACCAAUAGAAAGUUCUAUUUUCUAUUCCUUUGGGCAUUUCUUUUCACUGUUCUUGCUAUGACUUUAAUGGCGGUGGCAUUCAUGGCAGGUGUGUAUGCAGUAAUGCCACAUUCCUCAUCAGGUCUUGGGACUACCAUUUGUGUUAUAGGAAGUUGUUUGGCCUUAUUGUGUUACUGGGUGCUCAAGGCUGCAUUGUGUGAUUGAAUAUAAUUGAUUUUAAUAUUUGAACUGUUUUACAAUUAAAGAAUGGUGUAUAAUUGGAAUAAAUUGUAAAAUAUUGAUGGAAAUUAAUGUUAUUAUAUUUUUAACAA